CCUACGGGUGGCUGCAGUGAGGAAUAUUGGUCAAUGGGCGAGAGCCUGAACCAGCCAAGCCGCGUGAGGGAGUACUGCCCUAUGGGUUGUAAACCUCUUUUGUCGGGGAGCAAAAACCGGACGUGUCCGGCUGUGAGAGUAACCGAAGAAAAAGCAACUGCUAACCCCGGGCCAGCAGCCGCGGUAAAACGGAGGAUGCGAGCGUUAUCCGGUUUUAUUGGGGUUAAAGGGUGCGCAGGCGGGUUUUUAAGUCAGCGGUCAAAUCGUGGGGCUCAACCCCAUCCAGCCGUUGAAACUGGGGAUCUAGAGUGUGCGAGAGGUAUGCGGAAUGCGUGGUGUAGCGGUGAAAUGCAUAGAUAUCGCGCAGAACCCCGAUUGCGAAGGCAGCAUACCGGUGCACAACUGACGCUCAGGCACGAAAGCGUGGGUAUCGAACAGGAUUAGAUACCCCUGUAGUC
This 458-nucleotide ribosomal RNA is filed under the name uncultured bacterium. Its description in RNAcentral is "partial 16S ribosomal RNA". It matches the Rfam family "Bacterial small subunit ribosomal RNA", at positions 338 to 795 of the family's 1533-position model. The record is from RNAcentral.